This 386-nucleotide ribosomal RNA is filed under the name Nihonogomphus semanticus. RNAcentral's name for it is "partial 16S ribosomal RNA". The record is from RNAcentral. Lineage: Eukaryota; Metazoa; Arthropoda; Insecta; Odonata; Gomphidae.
GUCCUCUUGUUUAUAUAUAUGAGGUUUGACCUGCCCAGUGAAAAUUUUUAAACGGCCGCGGUAUUUUGACCGUGCAAAGGUAGCAUAAUCAUUAGUCUUUUAAUAGGAGGCUGGUAUGAAGGGUUUGACGAGUUGUUGGCUGUCUCAUUUAAUUUGAAAUUAAAAUUUAACUUUUCAGUUAAAAGGCUGAAAUUAAUUUGGAAGACGAGAAGACCCUAUAGAGCUUUAUAAAUAAAGAUUUUAUUUAAAUUUUUGCUUAAUUAUAUUUAUUUAUAAUUUUAUUUAUUUUGUUGGGGUGACAAAAAUAUAUAUUUAACUUUUUUAUUUAUAUAACAUUGAUUUAUGAUUAUUAGAUCCAUUUAUAGUGAUUGAUAGAUUAAGUUACC